AUACAGAGGGUGCAAGCGUUAAUCGGAAUUACUGGGCGUAAAGCGCGCGUAGGCGGUUUUGUAAGUCGGAUGUGAAAGCCCUGAGCUCAACUCAGGAACUGCAUUCGAUACUGCAUAACUAGAGUAUGGUAGAGGGAAGUGGAAUUCCAGGUGUAGCGGUGAAAUGCGUAGAUAUCUGGAGGAACAUCAGUGGCGAAGGCGACUUCCUGGACCAAUACUGACGCUGAGGUGCGAAAGCGUGGGGAGCAAACAGGAUUAGAAACCCUUGUAGUCC
This 274-nucleotide ribosomal RNA is filed under the name uncultured bacterium. RNAcentral describes it as "partial 16S ribosomal RNA". It matches the Rfam family "Bacterial small subunit ribosomal RNA", at positions 523 to 796 of the family's 1533-position model. The record is from RNAcentral.